Molecule: ribosomal RNA, 442 nt
Filed under: uncultured bacterium
Lineage: Bacteria
Description: partial 16S ribosomal RNA
Rfam family: Bacterial small subunit ribosomal RNA
Source: RNAcentral
CCUACGGGUGGCAGCAGUAGGGGAUCUUUCACAAUGGGCGAAAGCCUGAUGGAGCAACGCCGCGUGCAGGAUGAAGUACUUCGGGUUGUAAACUGCUUUUAUAAGCGAGGAAUAUGAUGGUGACUUCUGAAUAAGGAUCGGCUAACUACGUCCCAGCAGCCGCGGUCAUACGUAGGAUCCGAGCAUUAUCCGGAGUGACUGGGUGUAAAGAGUUGCGUAGGUGGCAUAAUAAGUAGCUAGUGAAAUCGGGUGGCUCAACCAUUCAGACUAUUAGGUAAACUGUUAAGAUCGAGACCGUUAGGGGUAAGUGGAAUUUCUAGUGUAGGAGUGAAAUCCGUAGAUAUUAGAAGGAACACCAAUAGCGUAGGCAGGUUGCUGGGACGGUUCUGACAUUAAGGCACGAAAGCGUAGGGAGCAAACGGGAUUAGAUACCCGUGUAGUC